GGCCGGUUAGCUCACUCAGUAGAGUGUAGCACUGACAACGCUAAGGUUGUGGGUUCCAUUCCCGCUCGGUCC
Molecule: transfer RNA, 72 nt
Filed under: Apaloderma vittatum (bar-tailed trogon)
Lineage: Eukaryota; Metazoa; Chordata; Aves; Trogoniformes; Trogonidae
Rfam family: tRNA
About the family: Transfer RNA (tRNA) molecules are approximately 80 nucleotides in length. Their secondary structure includes four short double-helical elements and three loops (D, anti-codon, and T loops).
Source: Rfam by way of RNAcentral